This 465-nucleotide ribosomal RNA is filed under the name uncultured Klebsiella sp. RNAcentral's name for it is "bacterial SSU rRNA". It matches the Rfam family "Bacterial small subunit ribosomal RNA", at positions 338 to 795 of the family's 1533-position model. The record is from RNAcentral. Lineage: Bacteria; Pseudomonadati; Pseudomonadota; Gammaproteobacteria; Enterobacterales; Enterobacteriaceae.
CCUACGGGUGGCUGCAGUGGGGAAUAUUGCACAAUGGGCGCAAGCCUGAUGCAGCCAUGCCGCGUGUGUGAAGAAGGCCUUCGGGUUGUAAAGCACUUUCGGCGGGGAGGAAGGCGGUGAGGUUAAUAACCUCAUCGAUUGACGUUACCCGCAGAAGAAGCACCGGCUAACUCCGUGCCAGCAGCCGCGGUAAUACGGAGGGUGCAAGCGUUAAUCGGAAUUACUGGGCGUAAAGCGCACGCAGGCGGUCUGUCAAGUCGGAUGUGAAAUCCCCGGGCUCAACCUGGGAACUGCAUUCGAAACUGGCAGGCUAGAGUCUUGUAGAGGGGGGUAGAAUUCCAGGUGUAGCGGUGAAAUGCGUAGAGAUCUGGAGGAAUACCGGUGGCGAAGGCGGCCCCCUGGACAAAGACUGACGCUCAGGUGCGAAAGCGUGGGGAGCAAACAGGAUUAAAUACCCCUGUAGUC